This 449-nucleotide ribosomal RNA is filed under the name uncultured bacterium. RNAcentral describes it as "partial 16S ribosomal RNA". It matches the Rfam family "Bacterial small subunit ribosomal RNA", at positions 29 to 523 of the family's 1533-position model. The record is from RNAcentral.
AAUGAACGCUGGCGGCAGGCCUAACACAUGCAAGUCGAACGGAUCCUUCGGGAUUAGUGGCGGACGGGUGAGUAACGCGUGGGAACAUACCCUUUGGUACGGAAUAGCCUCGGGAAACUGGGAGUAAUACCGUAUGUGGUCGAGAGACGAAAGAUUUAUCGCCAAAGGAUUGGCCCGCGUUGGAUUAGGUAGUUGGUGGGGUAAUGGCCUACCAAGCCGACGAUCGAUAGCUGGGUUGAGAGGAUGAUCAGACACACUGGGACUGAGACACGGCCCGGACUCCUACGGGAGGCAGCAGUGGGGAAUCUUAGACGAUGGGGGAAACCCUGAUCUAGCCAUGCCGCGUGAUCGAUGAAGGCCUUAGGGUUGUAAAGAUCUUUCAGGUGGGAAGAUAAUGACUGUACCACCAGAAGAAGCCCCGGCUAACUCCGUGCCAGCAGCCGCAGUAA